RNAcentral lists this ribosomal RNA (380 nucleotides) under uncultured eukaryote. RNAcentral's name for it is "partial 18S ribosomal RNA". It matches the Rfam family "Eukaryotic small subunit ribosomal RNA", at positions 592 to 976 of the family's 1831-position model. The record is from RNAcentral.
CAAUAGCGUAUAUUAAAGUUGCUGCAGUUAAAAAGCUCGUAGUUGCAUUUCCGAGGCAAGGGAUUAGUCCGACCUUUGGUGGGUAUUUAAUCCUCUUGCCUCGUCCUUGAGUGGUGCUUCUUGGUAUUAAGUUAUCGAGGAGAUAGCCGCUCAUCGUUUACUGUGAGAAAAUUAGAGUGUUCAAAGCAGGCUUAUGCCGUUGAAUAUAUUAGCAUGGAAUAAUAAGAUAGGACCUCGGUACUAUUUUGUUGGUUUGAGAACCAAGGUAAUGAUGAAUAGGGACAGUUGGGGGUAUUCGUAUUCAGUUGUCAGAGGUGAAAUUCUUAGAUUUUUGGAAGACGAACUACUGCGAAAGCAUUUACCAAGGAUGUUUUCAUUAA